GCUUACGGCCAUACUACCCUGAAUGCGCCCGAUCUCGUCUGAUCUCGGAAGCUAAGCAGGGUCAGCCUGGUUAGCACUGGAUGGGAGACCGCCUGGAAUACAGGUGGUAAGCU
This 113-nucleotide ribosomal RNA is filed under the name Larimichthys crocea (large yellow croaker). Lineage: Eukaryota; Metazoa; Chordata; Actinopteri; Sciaenidae. The record is from RNAcentral.